Molecule: long non-coding RNA, 1979 nt
Organism: Monodelphis domestica (gray short-tailed opossum)
Lineage: Eukaryota; Metazoa; Chordata; Mammalia; Didelphimorphia; Didelphidae
Source: Ensembl
CCCCCCCACACCCCAAGCACAGACUCACAGAUAAAACAGCUUACAUUCAAACACCAAACAGCACAGGCGACUGACUGAAAACAUGUGAAGCCCAAGCAAACUCUCAUAGAAAAAGUAGCAUUGGGUUUCCACGUCAUCUGCCAACUCAAGGUUUAUGAAUAGCUAGUUUACGCCAGGCUCGCUCAGAGCCUAACGCUGUCAUAAUCCUCAUGGCCAACCCGGAACCAACAACUUUCCACCGGGUCUGGCCAAUCUACCUUUAUAGUAAAGUACCGCGCAGCGUAUAUGCCCCCUCUUGCUACUAUGCAACCCCAAGUGAAAAACUUAAAGUAGAAACCACUAUUUCCUAAGAGUUGAAAGCCCGAGGGCUGGCUGGGAAGCUGGAAGGGGGCAUAGCGAAGGCAAGAGGAAGAUACCCUAGCUUAGCAAUAUCUCUGAAGAGAUGCUGAAAUUAUUGAAGGCUCAUGAAAUUUAAGGGCAAGUAGGAUCUUCAGCGGCCGAUUCUGGGCUACCACUGAAGGGAAGAGCUACAUUUUCAAAGAAAAAGAGGAGAGACUUUGCAGAAAUGCUAACUUGGGAGUGGGGGCGGGUAAAAACAAAUGGGUCCUCUCUCACCCCUUUUGCUUCCCUCACCCGUGUCUGUGUCCUGCCCUCUCGGUGCCCUUCAGGGCUGCCACAAUUUCUUGCGCAGAGUUGGAUGUCGAACGGAAAAAUGCAUGAGGCUAUUAGUCUGGCAAGGACGCCUUGGGACUGGCAAUCCGCUAGGUUGGGGGAUGGGACAAGGACCCCCUUUGACCUCCCGGCUGAUGCCCUCUGGGAAUUAAAGGAGUGCUGCCGGCCACACAGUCCACACAGCAUUGGGACUAGACCCUGGUCGGGUCAAGUAGCCAUCCUCGGGGGGGGGGGGGGGGGGGGGGGGGUCACACUUUGUUUUAGCACGUAUAAAGAGUCUGGUUUACCCCCAAGCCAGGGGUACUAGGUCUUGAAGAAGGCAGUCACAGAGCUCCCAGAAUUAGGCAGGGUCCCAGAACGGAACAAUAGUUGGGGGUCAUGAUGGGUCAAGUCCCAUGUAUCCAGCUCCAUAUUCCCUGACAGUCUGGCUGGCUCUUGCUCAGACCCCUAGGGGCAAAGGUCCCCACAAGCUCCUUUAGGUCUGCUCAAAACCUAGCCCCCUUCCCUUCGGCCCCUUUCCCGUACUAGGCUGUCCUUGGAGCCUAGCCGCCGCAGACAAAGGGCUCCAACAGGUUAGUCGCCUGUCGGUGUCUCUUACCUCGGGACCGGGCUGGGGGGACCGGCCGCCACCGCCUUGGGGGUACUGCAGCUCCCCCCACUCUGUCCCCCACCUCAGUCAGCGCCGCCGUCGCCGCCGCCGCCUUCCGGGAGCUCUCAGCCGGGCAGUCUGAGCCAUGCCCCAACCACCGCCGCUGCCGCCGCCUCUCUGCGCCCCUCAGCCAGCUCCAUGCAGCUAGUCCGGGGCUCCCUGCGAUGCUCCCCAACGGGGGAGGAGAUGUGGGGGGAGCCGCCGAAUCACCCGGCCUGGGGGCUGGGGGCGGGGGUAGUAGGAGAAUCGCCGAGUGUGAGCGCGUGUGUCAGUGUAUGAGAGAAUGAAUGUGCGAAAGCCGGCGAGGUAGCGCCGGCGGGCUGCACGGGCGAUGCCUGAGGUUGGUCCUCUGCCUGCCUUCUCCUCCUCCUCUUCUCCAGCUCUCUCUCUUCCAAUCGCUCUCUCUCGCGCCUCCCCCCUCUCCCCCCGCCCGGGAGCCCUCUCCCUCCCCUAUCCGUCCCGUCUCGGGUUUGAACCCGCAGGUGGCUGUGAUGGAAAUGGAGAGGCAGUCAGGACCCUGGAAACCCUGAAGUUGGCAUUACUACACCAGGUAUAGUCAUGGGUGGGGCGGCCUUGGGGUAGCCUGAUGGUCAGUCUCAGCAGGACCUCUAACGAGCAUGCUCUCCAGCGGCCUGCCACCCCAGGGAGGGGAGGGGCC